RNAcentral lists this small RNA (693 nucleotides) under Histoplasma capsulatum var. duboisii H88. RNAcentral describes it as "Histoplasma capsulatum H88 hypothetical RNA". Lineage: Eukaryota; Fungi; Ascomycota; Eurotiomycetes; Onygenales; Ajellomycetaceae. The record is from RNAcentral.
CCACACUGGAAUUGGAUCCUUUGGGGCUCCUCCUCUGACUAGCUAGCUAUCGAUGACUUCAUCGGAUCCCAGCAAUGCUGGCCUCAAACGCAAUAUGGAACAGACUCGUCUGCUUGGGCAUUCGUAAGCACUGUCCUAGUUAUCAAUCGUUUAUAUCAUACUUAAUGCGCGGUUUCCAAGCUGAUGUGGCUGGAUGAAGGCGCAUGAUGGUGCCCGAAAGUUGUCUUUUUUUACUCUGUGAGUUUGUGGAGCCGAUGGGCUGUGAAAAUUACGCAGAGGGAAGGGGGCAUUUCGAGAAUCACGCGAGUUCAAUUUUUAUAUAUACAUGUAUAUGUAUGCCAAGGUCGUUCUAAAACGAAAACGAAAAUAAUAUGGGCGGAAAGCGUAGGCAGCAAGUGAAAGGGACGAAAGAUAAAAAGAAAAAAGAAAUAGGAGUGCAGUGAGAACUUGGUAGUGAAGCCAAAGGAAGAUGAAGGGAAGAUGAGAGGAAGGAAAUAAACAGUCUGGGAAAGAGGCUGGAGGAGGAAAAAUUAAAGGGUGAGGGAGGCUGUACAAAAUGCCAGUAACAAAUGUCUGAACUAAACUUCUGAAUGAUGCAGCCUGACACCUUAGAAAUGCAACACAAGAACUAAGGAAGAGGAGGGAAAGGGACUGAGAAGGGGAUGAGAACAACAAACGGGCAAAGUAAAGGGG